This 54-nucleotide transfer RNA is filed under the name Ascaridia galli. Its description in RNAcentral is "tRNA-Asn". Lineage: Eukaryota; Metazoa; Nematoda; Chromadorea; Rhabditida; Ascaridiidae. The record is from RNAcentral.
UAAAAGUUAGUUUAUUGAGAAUUUUUGACUGUUGAUCAAAGGGAGUACUUUUAA